AAAAUAUUUUCUAUUUGGAGGUUUUUAGUUGAAUUUAGAGGUUUUUUGAGAUUUUUCAGAGAUCUAAAUAUCUUUUAACCGUAUUCUACUCUUACACAUUCUAUUUUGUAAUAAAAUUUAACUAUUUAUUUCAGAAUAAUAAUAUGGAUUUUAGUUCUACACACUUCAUCAGUUUUAAAAGAUGAGAGCAAAACAAAACACUAAAUAAAUAAAAAGAAAAUUAUAUUUACACGUGUCAAAAUCUGAGAUCGAUAAAUUUAACUCGUGGCACGACCCUGUGAGUUACUAACUUUGAAAACCAUAGCAUAGUUUUCAAAGUUAGUAACUCAUAAGAUCGUGACACGUGGUAAAUCUAUUGAUUUUAGAUUUUGAUAUGUGUAAAAC
RNAcentral lists this small RNA (384 nucleotides) under Arabidopsis thaliana (thale cress). RNAcentral's name for it is "ATSL217460". The record is from RNAcentral. Lineage: Eukaryota; Viridiplantae; Streptophyta; Magnoliopsida; Brassicales; Brassicaceae.